This 77-nucleotide transfer RNA is filed under the name Dialister invisus. RNAcentral describes it as "tRNA-Arg". It matches the Rfam family "tRNA". Rfam says of the family: Transfer RNA (tRNA) molecules are approximately 80 nucleotides in length. Their secondary structure includes four short double-helical elements and three loops (D, anti-codon, and T loops). Further hydrogen bonds mediate the characteristic L-shaped molecular structure. tRNAs have two regions of fundamental functional importance: the anti-codon, which is responsible for specific mRNA codon recognition, and the 3' end, to which the tRNAs corresponding amino acid is attached (by aminoacyl-tRNA synthetases). tRNAs cope with the degeneracy of the genetic code in two manners: having more than one tRNA (with a specific anti-codon) for a particular amino acid; and 'wobble' base-pairing, i.e. permitting non-standard base-pairing at the 3rd anti-codon position. Lineage: Bacteria; Bacillati; Bacillota; Negativicutes; Veillonellales; Veillonellaceae. RNAcentral also lists the same sequence under 7 other names. The record is from RNAcentral.
GGCUCAGUAGCUCAGUUGGAUAGAGCAACCGCCUUCUAAGCGGUAGGUCGUGGGUUCGAAUCCCCCCUGGGUCACCA